This 301-nucleotide ribosomal RNA is filed under the name uncultured bacterium. RNAcentral's name for it is "partial 16S ribosomal RNA". It matches the Rfam family "Bacterial small subunit ribosomal RNA", at positions 509 to 807 of the family's 1533-position model. The record is from RNAcentral.
CAGCAGCCACGGUAAUACGAAGGGUGCAAGCGUUAAUCGGAAUUACUGGGCGUAAAGCGUGCGUAGGCGGUGAGUUAAGUCUGCUGUGAAAUCCCCGGGCUCAACCUGGGAACUGCAUUUGUGACUGCGAGGCUAGAGUGUGUCAGAGGGGGGUGGAAUUCCACGUGUAGCAGUGAAAUGCGUAGAUAUGUGGAGGAACACCGAUGGCGAAGGCAGCCCCCUGGGAUAACACUGACGCUCAUGCACGAAAGCGUGGGGAGCAAACAGGAUUAGAUACCCCCGUAGUCCCUGUCUCUUAUAC